CAGAAUAUAGCUUAAACAAAGCAUUUUGCUUACACCAAAAAAAUAUCUUUAAUAGAUUAUUCUG
This 64-nucleotide transfer RNA is filed under the name Pseudoeurycea longicauda (longtail false brook salamander). Its description in RNAcentral is "tRNA-Val". Lineage: Eukaryota; Metazoa; Chordata; Amphibia; Caudata; Plethodontidae. The record is from RNAcentral.